Long non-coding RNA from Sphaerodactylus townsendi, 1000 nucleotides. RefSeq lists it as uncharacterized. The transcript is spliced from 2 exons. The record is from RefSeq and is a predicted model, not a curated record. NCBI's taxonomy places the organism in Eukaryota, Metazoa, Chordata, Lepidosauria, Squamata, Sphaerodactylidae.
GUAGCAGUCUUCAAAGCCAUCAAAGAACUCACACAGAGGAGAAACCUUUUGAAUGCUUAGAGUGUGGAAAGAGGUUCAGUCAGAAUGACCAUCUUAAAACCUAUCAAUGAAUCCACAUGAGAAAGAAAUCUUUUGAAUUUACAGUGUGGUGAGAGAUUCAGUUACCGUUGCAGUUUUCAGAAGCAUCCAAAAAAAAUCCCACAGGGAGAAACCUUUUGAAUGUGGAAAGACAUUUAGUCAUGGUGGCAGUGUGCAAAAGUGUAAAAGAACUUACACAGAGACUUUUUGAAUGGUCAAAUAAUGUUUUAGUAGCUGAAGUAUAUCAUACCCCCCAAAGUGAGAGGUGUAUAGCCUAAAGUCGUGGGCCAUGAUAAAUGGUAGUGGGAGGUUUUAGGAAUGGCUGCCUAGUGACCCCAGGGUGUGCAAUGAUGCUUCAUUGGGUGGGGGAAUCAAAUAGACUUUUCGUCCCUCCCCCAAAGACUCCCUUUGGUAGUGGGGAAGGGCUAUUGCAAUGAUGGGAUGGGAGUUUUAGGAGGAUUGAGGCAUGACAGCAGGCUAUGAAGUGCUGCUUUAGUGAGGAAAGGGGAAGAGUUGGCUUCUGAGACUUAGGCCCCUUCUGCACAUGCAAAAUAAUGCACUUUCAAUCCACUUUCACAACUGUUUGCAAUUAGAUUUUGCUAUUUCGUGCAGUAAAAUCCAGCUGCAAAGUGCACUGAAAAUGGAUUGAAAGUGCAUUAUUCUGCAUGUGUGGAAGGAACCUUACAGUUUUUGAGAGUAAAAUGUGCAUUUGCAAAGGAGUAUGUUUGCAAAGGGGUUGUUUGCAGAAUUUUUUUAGCUAUAGACUUUUUGAUUAGCAUGUGCUUAGAACACAACAAAGGGACUUGGAAAAUAGCACGCUCUUUUGUAAUGUGACUUUCUUUAUGUUUUAGAUUAGCUUUUUAUUAUGUCUUUUAGAACAUUUUAAGGAAAUGUACAAAUCAAAUAUAUUUGGUAAAAGAAA